Coffea eugenioides is the source of this 85-nucleotide small nucleolar RNA. Lineage: Eukaryota; Viridiplantae; Streptophyta; Magnoliopsida; Gentianales; Rubiaceae. The record is from RefSeq and is a predicted model, not a curated record.
CGCAAUCUAUGAUGACGGUCAUUAGUAUUACUGAUUUAACUGUGAUUAUCACAAACAUUUUCACCAUCUUUCGGCUGAGAUUGCG